GGAACAUGACACCAAAACUAAGAGUCCAAUCAAGCAGGAGACACCAGCCUCCCCUGUACCCAGCUGUGUGUCCAUGAAGAGUGGCAAGUCUAUGGAACAACCUCUAAACUUUAGAGAGGGAGACUUUUCUAGUGAACAAAGUGGAAGGUCUACUCUGUUAGAGGAUCCAGUCCAGGCGUGCAGUGUGUCAGCAGGUGCUGAGGGAUCCAGUCUCUAUCACCUGUGGACACAGGUUCUGCAGACAGUGCAUCACCAGAUACUGGGAGAAACCUGCUCC
Molecule: long non-coding RNA, 277 nt
Organism: Coregonus clupeaformis (lake whitefish)
Lineage: Eukaryota; Metazoa; Chordata; Actinopteri; Salmoniformes; Salmonidae
Exons: 3
Source: RefSeq, a predicted model, not a curated record